ACUGCAUGAAGCUGGAAUCGCUAGUAAUCGCGGAUCAGAAUGCCGCGGUGAAUACGUUCCCGGGUCUUGUACACACCGCCCGUCACACCAUGGGAGUCAGCAACGCCCGAAGCCAGUGACCCAACUGAGAAGAGGGAGCUGUCGAAGGCGGGGCCGAUAACUGGGGUGAAGUCGUAACAAGGUAUC
Molecule: ribosomal RNA, 186 nt
Filed under: uncultured bacterium
Lineage: Bacteria
Description: partial 16S ribosomal RNA
Rfam family: Bacterial small subunit ribosomal RNA
Source: RNAcentral